GUCUUGGCCACAUCGCUAAGAACUGUACAAGCUUCACUGGAACUAAUUGAGGGGCUAGACAAGUGCCACAGAAGAAAAAGCCUAAUUGGAGAAGGGAAGAUCAUGCGGAAGCAUACCUGGUAACAACAAAAACUGAGAAAAAUGAAACUUUGUUUAUGUUGGAUUCUGCGUGCACGCAGCAUAUUGUAAACAGACUUGAACUUUUAAAGGACAUUUCUGCAGCUAUGGAUGUAGUUCAGAUAAAGCUUGCUGAAGGAAGUCAUGUAAGUGUAAAUCAAAAAGGUUCUCUGUAUCUUCACAAUCUUAAGACAACUUUAAGCAAUGUUUUGUCUGUGCCUAAUUUGAGUUAUUGCUUGUUGAGUGUGUCUAAACUAAUGGAAGAAGGUUUUGAAGUGAAAUUCAAUGCUCAUGAAUGUGUUAUAAUGAAAAAGAAUUUCUUAUGUGCUAAGGGCUAUUUGGAAAAUGGUUUGUACUGGUUGAAAGCAUAUGAACAGUCUGUGUGCAACUUAGAAGAUAUUCAGAAUAGGCCUUUGCAUAACCAUUGUAUUCACUAUCUUCACAGAAUUUUAGGUCACACAAGUUUUUCUACUUUGGCUAAAGCUUCAAGAGUGUGUGAUCUCAAUGUGAAACCAUGUCGUAAAUUUCUUGACUGCAAAAUCUGCAGCAGUGUGAAGGUUAAAAGGUUUCCUUCUACUAAGAUAAGCCACCAUAAAUCAAGCCGUCCUUUUCAGUUGUUUCACAUGAACCUGGCUGGCCCCUUUGAUCCAAGUCAGGGGAAAUCUCGUUAUUUAUAUGUGUUAUGUGAUGAUUUUUCUAGAUACACAUAUGUUUAUUUCUUGAAAAACAAGUCAGAGGUUUUUCAGAAAUUUAAGCAAUGGGUGCGCAUGGUUGAGAAUCAAUUUCGUUACAAAGUGUCUUGCAUUCAGACUGACAGAGGUGGUGAAUUUUUGAGUACAGAAUUUAAAAAUUGGCUUGAUGCAAGAGGCAUCAGACACAGAAUGACUAAUCCUCACUCACCCUUCGAAAAUGGUGUAGCUGAAAGAAGGAUUGGAAUUUUAAAAACAAUGAGGGACACAAUGUUAUCAGAUGCAGAACUACCAUUUAAUUUUUGGGCUGAGUGUGUAAGAUCAGCAGUCCAUAUAAUUAAUAGGAUCUGGUCUUCAAGUGUGAAUAAUAUUCCUUAUUUUCUGUUGUAUGGCAAGAAUCCUGAUCUGUCUUAUUUGAGAAUUUUUGGUUCUUUUACCAAUGUGUUAAUACCUGAAGCUCAAAGACAAAGAGGAGAGCCAAAGUGGAAGAGACUAAGAUUUGUUGGGUAUGAAAAUUCAACUAAGGGGUAUCAUUUUUCUGAGAAAUAUGGCAAGAUUAUCAUAUCUAGAAAUGCCAAUUUUGAAAAACACAGUGGAUGGGAAAAAGUUCAUUCGAACCGUGAAGUAUUUUUGCCUCCUAUGCAAAGAAGAGCUGAGAGAGCUGAGAGUGAGACAGUUUUAAGGCCUGUUGUAAAUCAACGAAUCUCACAGCGAACUACAAAGAGUAUUCCUCCACAAAGAUAUGGUUUUUCCCAGAUUGUCACAACAGACAAUGCAGAUCCAAUUUCUUAUCAAGAAAUAAUGUCUCAAGCACCACAGGAAAUUCAACUUUGGAAAGAAGCAAUGCAAACAGAAUAUGAGGCAUUAUUAAAACAACAUGUUUUACAAAGAUU
Molecule: long non-coding RNA, 1699 nt
Filed under: Salvator merianae (Argentine black and white tegu)
Lineage: Eukaryota; Metazoa; Chordata; Lepidosauria; Squamata; Teiidae
Description: lncRNA (ENSSMRG00000010846.1)
Source: RNAcentral